This 31039-nucleotide long non-coding RNA is filed under the name Gossypium barbadense (sea-island cotton). RNAcentral's name for it is "long non-coding RNA (GBAR_LNC013236)". The record is from RNAcentral. Lineage: Eukaryota; Viridiplantae; Streptophyta; Magnoliopsida; Malvales; Malvaceae.
AAGCAACUCCAAAAUCAAACAUCACAUGAACGUACAAGCAGUCUGGAGCCAAAAGAAACACUUCCACAACAAGCCUUUCUUUUAGAUACAUGGGAAGGUAAUCAAAACUCAUAAGAACUACUUAUAGCAGACACAUAACAUAAUUCUCCAGAAAACACAAUCAUGGACAACUAAUGCAACUUCAUGAUCUGGUUUGCCCACUUAUUAUUAUAUUCCAUUACAAUUUCGCCAGCGGAUCCUAUAGCUUUUCCACCACAUUUAAGGUUGAGGUGAAAACUAAUGGCAGUUUCGGUUAUACUUGGGUAGACGGGGCUUCUUCUUAGGAGGAGAUGGUGUAGGCAAGCAGGAUCUAUAAAAAAUUAUAAAAAUUAAUUUUUAUACUAGAGUGAGCCUAGACAACCAAUUGUCCAGAUUCGUUUUAGACUGAUUUUUUUUUUCAAAAUUAUAGAAAAUUUAUUUUAUUUAAGUUUUAUAAAUUUUUAAAACAUUAUUAAAAUUUAUAAAAAUAUUAAAAUUAAAAAAAAUAAAAAUUAAUAAAAAUCAUUUAAAAGUUAACUCCAAAAUUUAUUUAUAUAUAUUUUCUAAAAUAUUUUUUUGAACUUUAUUUAAUAUUUUGAUAAAAUUUAAUAAAAUUUUAAAAAUUUAUAAAAAAACAAAAUUUAAAACGAUUUUUUAUAAGUUUUAAAAAAAAUUUUAAAAAAAAUUUAAGUAUAAAUGAAACUGGACAACCAUUUAUCUAGGUUCAUUUUAAUGAAAAUUUAACUUUUAAUUUUUAAAAAAAUUUGUUUUUUUUUUAUUUUGUUGAUUUCUGCAAUUGUCAUUGAUUGGAGUAGCAUGUCAACAUCGUUAACGGCCACAUCAGAAUUAUAACGAUUAAAGAUAAUCAAAAAAUUUAAUUGAUACAAUUUGAAAAUUUACUUAUUAUAUACGUUUUUCAUUAAAAAACUUAAUUAAUUUUUUGGUCAAAGUUAAAAGGUUCAUAUACGUUUUAGCUUAUAUAUAAUUAAAUGAAUGGAUAAUCCAACACAAUACAUCAAAGUUCUUAUCUAUAUAACGUUGAUAACGUUAAAUGUUAUUUGAUUGUAAUUUAACUAUAUAUAUAUAUAUAUAAAGAGAGUGGAAGCCAUGAGAAUGCAUAGUAUCACUAAUCAUACUUUUAUUUAUUUAUUAAUGAGUUGGAUAGUUUGGGCCUACUUCUUUUUCAAAGAUAAUUUGAUACCAACUACAACGAAAAAGUGAAGGUGAAGUUUACUUUUCAGAUAUUUAAAUUAAAUUUAAAUUUUAAAGUUGUUAUUGUCGAAAUUUGAGAGGGUUUACCUGAAUAUCAUUCUAACUUGAAUAAAACUAAAUUUAAAUUAUAAAAUAGAUAAAAAAUACUCGUAAUUUGAUCAAGUUUGGACAAAUAAAUUAUUAUUCACUUUAUAAUAAAAGGGUAAUGACACCCUCAUGGUCUGUAAUUUCCAAUGGACUUACGGCCAAAUCCAAGCUACUAAUUUUUAAGAAAUUUUAUAUUUGUUUUAAUAAAUUUUGUGAUAAAUAUCAAAAUUAUAUAUGAAUUUUGAUUUAAUAUAUAAUUUGGUACAUGAAAUUUGUGUAUAUUACUAUACUUUUAAAAACUAAUUGAAUAUAAAAUUAUAAAAUCCUAAAUCCAUCUUAACGUUGCAUUAAAAAAAAAAAGUUAAACUAUGUCAUCAAUCUCUGUAUUUUUCACUAAGUUAGAAUUCAAUCCCUAUAUUUUUAUUUUUACAAAUUUAGUCUCUUUACUUUUUAAAUUUCAAAGUUUUAGUCAAAUUGUUAACGCUAUUAACUUUUUUUGUUAAAUUUGUUAGCAUGAUAUUUUGAAAUUAAACAAAAAAUUGUGUUGUAAUAAACUUUAAUUUAACAAAAUAAUUUUAAUAGUAUUUAUAAUUGGACUUAAAUUUUAAAAUCUGAAAAAUAUAAAAUCAAAGCAUUAAAUUUUAAAUUUAUAAAAAUACAGGAAUUUAUUAGACAUUUUAACCAAAAAAAUUAUGAUCAGAAAUUUUCUGUGGAACUCUAAAAAAUUACGGAAUGUUAGAUAAAACCAACAAAAUUUACAAAGGGAGGACUGAGGAAAUUUCCAAGACAGGCAAUAACUGCACAAAAGAAAUUUCCAUAGAUUUUUGGCUAUUAAUUAAUAAUUAUUAAAUAAAUUUGGGUUGACCUCAAGUCUACUAUAAAGCAAGUGGAUGAGGCAUUAAUUAAAAGUGUACAUUUUAUUGACCAUUUCAUAGUUAUCAUAUGCUUGUUGAAACGUAACUUUCGAAAACGAAAGAUUAUGAAAUUUGGGUAGCAAAAGCAAUUAAUGAGUGCAUUAAAAUUUAGGAUAUGUUUUUCCUUUACCUCUUUUAUCUUAUUACGUUUGGAAAAAUUAGAAAAUAUUUGAUAUUCUGUCGGUAGAGUUUUUGAAUUUUACAAACAUAAUUAGAAAUUGAUAAAUGUUCUAUAAAAAUAUAGUAAAUUAUUAAAAAUAUAUAUAUAUUUAAAAAAGUCAUACAUAUUAGUAAAGUUAUGUCAUUCAAUAAAGAGAGAAUUUUGUGCUGUUAUAAGAAUAAUAAGUUGACAUGAGAAUUGUUGUCAAUAUAAGACGACAUGAGUUCGAGUGUGCUGAAGUGUAUUAUCCUCUUAAUUAUGGGCUGGGGAGGGGCUAUGGAUAAUUCUAGACAUUAUGUCAAAAAGAGCAGAUAUGAUCAGAACCUAUAAUGAUUUUUUUCAAUAAAAAAACAACUCUUGCUAAAGUAAAUUAUAUAAAAAAAAAGAAAUAAAAUAUGAAAUGGUAUAAAAAUAAUAUUAUUUAAUUAAAAUACAUAUGACGAAUUGAAGCUUAUAAAAACUCAUAACAAUUUAAAUAUAUGAAAGAAAAAUACCAACAUAUUAUGAAUAUAUUCUUUAAAUUGACUCAUUAUUAAAAAUUAUGCAAAUGAAUUUAGAUACAACAUAAUACCAACACACGGAUCAUUCUAUAAAUUGAGUUCUACGAUAGCUUAUGCAACACAAAAUAUGAUGCAAAAUUAACUUAAACAAAUCAUGUAUUCAAAAGCACGUAAAAAAUUAUAAACAAUUAGGGCAAAAUCAAAAUUUUUUUUUAUGGAUGCAUGCUUAAGUGGUAUGUUUUUACGAUAAUAAAAAUGUAAUAUUAUUAUUUUAAUAUUUAUAUUUUUAUAAUUUUUUAAAGAUUAAAUUAAAUUUUUAUUAUUUUUAGGGAGCAAAGUAUAAUUUUACUAUUAUUAAUUUAAAAUUUUAUAAACUAUAAAAAGAAUAAAAAAAAUUAUUUUAAGAAGAGUCGGGCCCUACCAACACCUAUUCGAUCCGCCCUAUAUACAACAAAUUGUUAGCAUGUAGAAAUAUAUUUAUAAUAUUUUGAACCCACGAAAAUAACACAAAUAUAAAUAUAGUAUGAAAAUAGCAUAAAUAGAUAAGCGUGGUAAAGUCGUCCCUGUUACAAUAUUUCUUUUGUGUCAUGAACAUGGUAGUCAGUACUGUAUUGGAACUGGUCGAACCAACUGAUAUGUAUCGUUUUGAUCUUAAACCGGUAUUCAAACAAUGUUUGUUCUAUUUCAAUUAAAAUUUCGUUGUGUUUCUGUCAUUUCGAUGUGUUUCGUUCCGUUUCAGUCAAUACCAACUUAUAUAAGUGUAUACAAAUUUUUGAUAGUUUAAACUAAUUUUUAAUUUUUUUUUAUCUUAACUAUUUUAAAUUCCUAUAUUUAUAUUUAAAAUUAAAAGCUAUUAAAUUAAAUUAUUGAACAUAAUUAAAAAUUUUAAAAUUUAUUUAUAAAUAAAUAUAUUUAUAUGGAUGUAAUUGAGAUAUAUUUACAUGUAUAUAUAAUAUAUAAUUUAUUUUUUAUAUUUAUUAAGAAACUAAAAAGUUAGACUAUAAUUAUAUAUAUGGAAAAUAUUUAAAUGUAUAUAUAAUUUAUUAAGAAACUAAAAAUGAUGCUAUAUAUAUAUGUGAAAUUUUAAAACAUCGAUAAACCCAUAACGAUACACCGAAAUAUGCAAGUACCGGUACAUACCAAUACCAAGAUAAAAAUAGUAUAUCCACCGAUACGGUUCUGACUAACUUAGUCUUGAAUCUACUUGUUAGCUUUUGUUCAAUAAUCAUAAUUAAUCAUAUUCAAUAUAUAUUAUUUUAAUAAAAACUUUGGCACAUUGAUAAAUUUUUACGUACUUUUUUAAUAAAUUUGCCUAUUUAUAAUAUUUUUCAUAUAUUGGAUUCGAAAUUUUUAUGUCUAAUUAAUGAUGUUGAAAGUCGAUUAAGUCUUACCUCGAUUGGCAUAAGCAUUAUUGCCAGUGUAGGAAGACGUGGGUUCAAGUGCGUUAAAGUGUAUUAUCUUCUUAUUUAAGGGUUGGAGAGGGGCUAUGGACAGUUUUAGGUAUUGUGUAAAAAAGAAUAGAUAUGACCAGAACCUAUAAUGAGAUUAUAUGAUAUAUCAUAUAAGAAUUACUAAAUAUUUGAAUUAUUUUACUUAUUUAUUAUUUCUUUAUUACAAAUUAUCAAAUCAAAUAUUAUAAUAUCAUGUACAGUAAGGUGCGGGUAUUUCUCUGAUAUUUAUAAUAUGAAAAUACCUUGUUUAAAAAUUUUACUUAGCGAGAGUUUGACAUUGUUGGUAGAAAUCUUGAGGGUAUAAUAUUGAAUCCCAUCAUAUAGAAUUUAUGUGUGAACUGAUUAGUGGAUUAAUGAAACCAUCAUGUUCUUGAUUGAAUCUUGAUUACUAGUUAUUAAAAGUCGUAAGAAGCCAUGAAGAAGAGCUCAAGAGAACUAGUUAUUGCAGCCGCACUACAUUGUAAAACGAAGUACAUAGUCUUAAAAGAACACAAAUCAUGGUCAACUAAUGCAACUUCAUGAUCUGGUUUGCCAACUCAUUUAUUAUCUGCAUAUGUUUAUAUAUAUUCCAUUACAAAUUCGCCAAUGGAUCCUAUUCCUUUAGCUUCUCCAGCACAUUCAAGGUUGAGGUGGAAAUUAAUGGCAGUGUCGAUUAUACGUGGGUAUACAGGGCUGCUUCGUGGGAGGUUGUAUGCAGGAUUUAUAAGGCAUUCCACGGCCACAUGGUACAGCAGGUUUAUUCCUCCUAGGAGUGUUAAACACUGGUCGAUCAUUGAUGUCUGCAAAAUUAACAGCCACAUAAUUCUGUGUUGUAUAUAUAAUUAAAACCAUUCAUAAAAUUGGAAGUCAUAAACUUGUUGAUGUAAUUACGUACCCUUCGCCACCAGUUGUCGAGCCAUGGUUGAAGUAGGGAUAAAGAGAGUGGAAGCCAGGAGAAUGCAUACCAUCACUAAUAAUGCUUUCAUUUUGGGGGGUAUAUUGUUGUUGUUAAUAGUAGGUAGUUUGUGUUAAGGAUGGCCCUUCUUUCGACUACUAUUUAUAGGUCGAUAUCUCAAGUGUGUUGUGGCUACUUUUCAAAGAUAAUUUGUUAAUAAAUUAUUAUUCACUCUAUAAAACUAGCAAAAUUGACAAAGGGAGGACUGAAGAAAUUUCCACGGCAGGCAAUGGGUAAUAGCUAUUGUCCCUUUCAGUUUCACUUUCUGUCUUUUUAUGACCCAUAUUUCCACACACAAAUCAAAUUUGUAGCUGUUGUCGCUUUCAUUAUUCUCUCACUUGGAAAAUUAGAAACAUUGUUAGUGAUGGACUUUAUGGAUUGAACAGGUAAGGAGAAAAUUUAUUCGUAAAAUUUAUGUUUACCGAUACAUAUAAGGUAUAAAAAUAUAAUUUGUUGGAUCGCAUUUAUAUUUAUUGGGUCUAGUAAUAAAGAGUUUGAUGUGUUUUUAGGUUUGGAUUUUAUGGAUGAAAAAACCAAUACCGAAAAAAUUUUACCCUCUAUUUCAGAACUCAAUUUAAUGAAAAAAAUCUUGUUCAACAACAAUUAUUUUAGAAAGAAAAUAGACUUUUAUUAUACACUUGAUAAAUUGAUUUUUAAUUUCCAAUGAUUUGAUUUUAAUUUUUCUUAUAAUAUUUAUAAUAUAUGAAAAUAUAAUUUAUUUGAUGGCUCUUAUUAUACAGUUGAUAUCAACUUUUAAUAUGCAACUAUUUAAUUUUAACUACAAUUCAAUUUUGUCAAUGAAAGAUAGCAACAUUCACCCUAAGUCUCAAAGGUUGUAUGUUAGAUCAUGAUAAUAUGGACAAAUAUAUUAAUUACCGAGUACUAUACCAACAACAAAUAAGAAGCAAACAUAGGACUAUGAGGUAUUACUUAUCUCUCAUCUUUACCUUUUUCAUUAAGUUAUAUACUUUUACUCUCUCCAUAAUUAUGGAGAACAAUCAAAGCGUCAAAACCGACACCCCUUAAUUUACCCUUGAGUCGUGCAGAUCGAGUCAAACCCCUUGAAGCACCUCAACAAGCCUGAUUUACAACAAUUCAAAGAAGACUAAUAUUUGGGGCUACCUUUGAGAACGAAGCGAAAAUCCAUGGCUUAAUCUUCCCAACUCGAUAAGCUUCAAAAAUAUUUUUGAAGUUUUUGACAAGUUCAUACUUUUUCCAAUGGAGAUUUCAGUUUCAUAAAAUUUCACAAAUACAUUUAUCUCCAUCUUUUUGGUUUAUCGAAAGUUCCUCCAUUUUUAGUUCCAUAAAACUUUCAUAUUUGGGUUUCAUAAAGUUUCCCAAACACAUUUAUCUCCAUUGUUUGGUUUAUUGAAAGUUCCUACAAAAGAGUUUCUUAAAUUUCUCAUCUUUGGGUUCAAAAAGUUUUCUAAGCAAAUUCAAUCAAUCUCUAUUUUUUGGGCUUAUUGAAGCUUCUACCUUUAAACUUGAUUUUUGGGUUUCUUAAAGCUUUCAUCUUCGGGUUUUAUUUAGCUUCCCAAGCACAUUCAUCUCUAUAUUUCGGGUUUAUUAGAGCCAUUUUUUAUUUCUUAAAGUUUUUUAUCUUUGGUUUCCAUGAAGUUUACCAAGCACAUUUGGUCUCCAUUUAUGACUUUCUUGAAGCAUCCUCCGUUUUUGGGUUUCUUAAAGCUACCUUCAUAGUUGGGUUUCCUACAGCUUUUCCAAUAUACUUUACAAUCGCGUCUGUAGCACAGAUUUUGCAAUCAAAAUUUCGUAGUCCAUCUGCAAUUACGAUUCUGUAGCACAGUAGCAAUGAUUCUAUAGUCCAAAUUCUGUAGGCACGAUCUACAGUCACGUCUAUAGUCUAGUUUCUUCAGUCACGAUUGUAUCAAGAUUCUGCAGUCACGUUUGUAAUCUGCAGUGAUAUCUGUAGUCCAGAUUCUAACCACGAUUUUGUAGUACAUAUUUUGAGGUUAUGAUUAUGAGCUUAUCAUUUUAAGGGUGAGUUUGGAUGGGCGGUGCGUUUAUCUGCGGUUAGUGUAAAAACAGCGGUGGCGGUAAAAUUAGAUACUGUAGCGAUACUGUAACGUGAGACAAAAAGUAAGCUAAACGCACCGCACUGCACUCAAUCGCCCAUCUAAACCCACCUAAGGCUACUCUUAGACUAUAUAGAAAAACUCAUAUCAAACUUCUGAUACCAACUUAAAUGGUAGAAGACCAAAAAUUCAAAUUUCAAAAACGUUAAUAAUUGAAUAAAAAAAUUUUAAUUGACUGAUCAAAAUAAAAAUACUCUCAUGAACUUCAUGUAGCUUACCUAAUAAAAAUACUAGAAAGAUAGGAAGGUUGAAAUUUAUAACAAAGCAACUCCAAAAUCAAACAUCACAUGAACGUACAAGCAGUUUGGAGGUAGCUUGAAUUAUCAAAAGAAACUCUUCCAGAGGAAGACUUUGAUUUCGAUACAUGGGAUGGUAAUUGAAAGCCUUAGGAAGCCAAUGAUGAUGAGCUCAUGAUAACUCGUUAUUGCAGACACACUACAUAUGAUGAAACAAACUACAUAAUAGUCUUGAAAAAAACACAAAUCAUGGGCAGGUAAUGCAACUUCAUGAUCUGGUUUUUAUAUAUUCGCAUUACAAUUUCGCCAAUGGAUCCUAUAGCUUGCCCAUUACAUUCAAGGUUUAGUUGGCUACUCUUAGCAGUUGUGGCUAUAAAAACAGGGUGAGUUCAUAGAAGGAGUUCCAGGUCCGCAGUAUUUAUAAGACUUUCCACGGCCACAAUUUCGAGGUUCAUUAUGUUCACCCGCCGUAGCAGUGGUAAACACUGGUGGAUCAUUGAUGUCUGCAAAAUUAACAGCCAUAUAUUUCCCAUUUUAUUUAAAUAUAAGGCUAAAGUGCUAUAUAAGCGGAUAAAGGUAUAUAAGCCCUUGAACUUUUGCAAAAAAAUCAAUUAAGCCCUCCGCAGAAAACGUACUCAAUUAAGUCUUCAAACUCUCAAAUUGCAUCAAAUUUUUAUUUAUAAUUUUGAUAAAUUUUAAUAAUAUUAUUUAUUUAUUUAUAAUUUUAAAACAUAAAAUUUAUAAUUUUUUAAAAAUUUUAAGUCAAAAUCAAAUUGGGCAAGCAUUUGUCCAGGUCAUUCUAGUAAUUUUUCUUUUUACUUUUUUUGAAUUUUUUAUUUUUCAAAAAAAAUUUUAUUUUUAUUUUGUUGAUGUCAGCAACUGUCAUUGACAUGGAGCGCCAUGUGAGCGCUAUUGAUGGUCACAUCAAUACUGUAACGGUUAAAGAUGAUCAAAGGACUUAAUUGAUGCAAUUUGAGAAUUUGAAGGUUUAAUUGUAUACACUUUUUACGGAGGGGCUUGUUGAUUUUUUCGCAAAAGUUCAAGUGCUUAUAUACUUUUAGCCUAUAUAUAAUUAAAACCAUCCAUAUGUAAAAAAAACUUAAUAGAAUUGAAUAAUCAACACAACACAUCCAAGUUCUUAUCCAUAUAAUGUUUAACAUUUUGAUUGUGAUUCAACUUUACUAUACUAAUGUUAUACAUAUUGCUUUAAGAUGGAAAAUAAAUGAAAAAUAGAAUAAAAGUGUUAAAUUUGUUGGAAAUGUGACUUAUCCUUCUAGAUAAGUUAUAAAAAAAAAUCAAUAUAAUCAGACAUGCAAAACACUCAAAUUCUAAACUAUUUAAUAAUAAUUUGACUAGUUAUUGUAUGCGUAUACAUGUAAAUAUAUUGCUUGAUUAUAUAAAAUAAAAUUGGAGAUUUCUAUAGAAGUAAUAAACUUGUUGAUGUGAUUACUUACCCUUCUCCCCCAGAUGUCGAGCAAUGGUGAAAGUAGGGAUAAAAAGAGUGGAAGCCAGGAGAAUGCAUACCAUCACUAAUAAUGCUUUCAUUUUGGGGGGUAUAUUGUUGUUAUUAAUAGUAGGUAGUUUGUGUGAAGCAUGGCUUUUCUUUCGACUGCUAUUUAUAGGUCGAUAUCUCAAGUGUGUUGUGGCUACUGUUCAAAGAUAGUUUGAUAAUAAAUUAUUAUUCACUCUAUAAAACUAGCAAAAUUGACAAAGGGAGGACUGAAGAAAUUUCCACGGCAGGCAAUAGGUUAUAGCUUAUUUCUGUUUUUUUUAAUAAUUUUAUUAUAAGUUCUGAUUAUAUUUGCUUUUUUACACAAUGUUUAGAACUACCUAUAGUCCCUCCCUACUCAUAAGGAUAAUGCACUUCAGCGCACUCGAACUUACAUUCUUUUACAUUGAAAAUAAUGUCCAUACCAAUCGAAUUAAAGACUCAAUCAGCUACCUUCUAUCUUUUUAUGGCCCAUAUUUCCAUACAAAAAUCAAAUUUUUAGCGGUUGUCACUUUUAUUAUUCUCACUGGGAAAAAUAGAAAUAUUAUUAGUGAUGAACUUUAUGAAUUCAAGAUGUAAGGAGAAAAUUUGAGGAUCAAAUUUAUGUUUAAUUAUAUACAAUAUAUAAAAAUAUAAUUUGUGCGAUGUCAUUGAUAUUUGUUGGGUCUAGUAGUAAGGAGUUGAAUACUUUUUUAGAUUUGAACCUUGUAGAUAAAGAAAACAAUUUCAAAAAAACUUUAACCUCCAUUUAAGAACCCAAUUCAAUUCAACUUCAAAUUUAAUGAUCAAAUAUUAAAGGAUCUCAUGAAAAAAAUCUUGUUCAACAACAACUCUUUUAGAAAGAAAAUAGACUUUUAUUUUAUAGUUGAUAUAUUAAUUUCUUAUUUCUAAUGAUUUGAUUUUAAUCUUUCUUAUCAUAUUAUAAUAUAUGAAAAUAUGAUUUGAUGGCACUGAUACUUGUUGGGUUCAGUAGUAAGGAGGUCAAUGCAUUUUUGGGUCCUAAUCUUGUAGAUGAAGACAACGACACUAGAAAAACUUUACCCUCCAUUUAAAAACCCGCCUUAAUUAAACUUCAAAUUUACUUAUCAAAUAUUGAAGGAUCUCAAGAAAAGAAAAUCAUUUUCUACAACAAUUCUUUUAGAAGGAAAAUAGGCUCUUAUUGUAUAGUUGAUGUAUCAAUUUCUACUUUGCAAUUAUUUGAUUUUAGUUACAUUUCAAUUUUGUUAAUGAAAGAUAGCAACAUCCACCCCAAGUCUCAAAUGACUUGUUAGACCAUGAUAAUAAUAAGGACAAAUAUAUUAAUUGUUAAGCAUUACUAACUCGUACAAUGUGGGAUCACUUCUUACACCAAUACUAAAUAAAAAGCAAGCUUGAGGACCAAUCAUAGGACCAUGAGGUAUUACUUGUCUCUCAUCUUUAUCUUCUUCACUAAGUUAAUAUACUUUUACUGUCUCCAUAGUAAUGAAUCCUUAAUUAACUUAAGUAUCAAAGAACAAUUAAAAUGUCAAAUCCGAUGCCCCUUAGCUUACCCUUAAGUCAUGCAGAUCGAGUCAAGCCUCUUGAAGCACCUCAACAAGUUUGGUCUACACCAACCCAAAGAAGACUCUAAUAUGUGGUGCUAACUUUGGGAACUAAGCGAAAACCCAUGGAUUAGUCUUAACGACCUAUUAAGCUCCAAUUCUUUUCCCAAGUUUUUGUCUAAGCUCCUACUUUUUCCAUUAGAAAUUUUAUAAAACUUUCAUUUUUGGAUUUUAGAAAGUUUCUCAAACACAUUUAUCUCCAUUAUUUUGGUUUAUCGAAGGUUCUACUUUUUCAAUGUCGGUCAACAAUUGAUCAAAAUAAAAAAUGUUUUUUUCAUAUUUAAAUAUUUAAUAUUAUAACUUUCUAUUUUUAAUUUAAUUUAAUGUUUUUAUUUUAAACAAAACUAAUUGUCAUGUGAAAUUUUUUCAUUGACCAAAACAUGCCACGUGGCACUUUUUCAUUGGUCAAAGUUGUCUAACAGUUUUUUUAACGUUCGUUGUAAAAUGAACCGAAAAUAGAGGAAAUUGAUACUUUAAGUACCAAAUUGAAACAAAAAAAAAGAUACUAAAGCAAAAAAACAAACAAACAGAUAUGCUUUAAGAGCUAAAUUGUAAUACCCCGGAAUUUGAGGUUAGAAGUUUUGAGGUUGUGGUUAGGGUCAUUGAAUAGGUCAAGCAAUUGAGUGGAUUUUCGCGUUAUAAUGUCAAAAUAAGCUUGUUGGUUCAGUGGUGGUGAAUGUGUUAGUUUACCUUUAUAUUUUGGGUUCAAGUCCUCAUGUGUGUUUUGAGGAAUUAAUUGGUUUUGGUUUUGGUUUUGGUUUUUAAUUUUUAAAGGUUUACUUUUAAAAUUUGAAAGAGGAGGUUUUUUAGUUUCACGUUCUUUUCCAUUUCCCUUUUUUUUGUUCCCUCUGUUAUUUUUUGGUUCUUUCCCCAAAUUUCAGUUCAUUUGAUUUCUUGUUUUGUCCGUUUUACACUUAAGUUAUGUGUUGUUUGUCAAGGCUGAUCAUCCUCGUGUGUUUCGUUUUAUCGAAGGUGAAGCGAAUAGGUUUUGCUCAUGAGGGUUUAUGAUAGAAUUGAUUCUAUUUCUAUUAUUUGUUAAUUGAAAUUCUUAUAGUUUAAGUUUAUGUGUGAAAUUGAGGUUUCUGAACAAUUUGGUGAGAGUGAAUCGAUCGGUUCUUGGUGCUUGACAUCGUGUUCUAAGGUGUGUGUUAUGAAAUGGUUUAACUUCGGUAUCGAGUUGCGGUGGAAUUCGAUAAUGUCUUGUGUGUUUCUAAAAUUGGUUAUUUGAAGUAUCAUAUUGUUACUGAAUUGCAUGAAAUUCUUUAUGUUUUAGCAUAAUUCUGGGUUACCAAGGGUUGGGGAUCAUUUUGACAUCAAAAGCAUGAUUUUCAAGUUGUUUCGACGUGGUUUCAUGACCACACGGGUGGCCACAGAAGCCUGUGUUGUACACGGGCGGUCCACACGGUCGUGUGCUGUACACAGGCGGUCCACACGACCGUGUGUAAUUGGGAAUUUAAGGUUUUUGAUGAUUUUUGGUACCACAUGACCUGGCCACACAGGCAUGUGUCCCCACACGGGUGUGUGAGAUCUCCAUACGGUCGUGUCUCCUCUGUUUUUCAUUUUUGGCACUUUUGGACAGUGAGUUUCACGGGCAACUCAUACGACCAUGUAAAUUGGUCACACGGGCAUGUGUCUCCUCCACAUGGGCGUGUAGGCCUCUAAACGGCCUAGACAUUUCCACACGAUUGGGGCACAUGGCCAUGUGGCCCUAUUUUGCAGAAUUUUUGUUUUGAGUCAUAAACUGUCUGUUUUAUGUUUCUAUGUAAUCCGACCCUUAGUCAAGCCUCGGUAAAUAUGUUUGGGAUUCGAUUUAGUUUGGUUCAUGUAUAUGUGUGUUUAUAGGCUUUCAUUUUAUUGCUCAUUUAUGUGAUGAAUAAGUAUGAUUUUAUUAUUGUUGUUGUAACUGAAUAUUAGAAUACAAGUGUAAUCAAAUCUGAAUCUGUUCAACUGGAAAUGUUAAUAUUCGUUUCUGUAUGUUGUCAGUGUAAUGUGUGCAUUGUUGCAUAGCAUGAAAAUUUUGGGAUCUGGUUAUGAAGAGAAGGAAGAUAAACUUAGUAGCUUUAACUGCGAUACUUUUGUACAGCAGUUUACCGCACUAUCCUAUACGUAUAUCAGCUCAGCUAAAUACAGUUUCUCAAGUGGCAUAGUUCCACAUUGUAGUAUGUAGGAUGAACCUAUUAUGGUUCUAUAUGGUGCGCAAGGUGGACGAGCCUACCAUAGCCCUAAUGUGGUGUGUUGGAUGGACGAAGUGGUGUUUGGUUGGUGGGGUGGGAUUUUUGAGGUGUUACAUAAAUUCUGGGGUGUUCGGGUGUUACAUAAAUUCUGAACUAAGCCUUUUUUAUUUUAUAAUAGCAGAAAAAACACAUUUUUUUAUCAUAUUGUAUUAUUGAUCCCAAUUAAUCUUAUAUCAGAUUUAAAAGAUAAAUGAAACAAUAAGUACUAUAGUCUAUAUCCAUAUUUCUUCCUUUUCCCUUCACUUGGAAAAUUUUAUAUAAAAAAAAUGCCAUUAAUCCAAGACUUUUUGCGGCGAAUUUUAGUAUAAAUGUCACUAUAUUUAUGGUGCCAAAAUAUUCACAUGAAAUUGUUGUGAAGCAGGUGAUGAAACUUGAAAUUAGUGACGUUUUAUACAGUAAACGUCGCAACUUUUGUCACAAUGGGUGGUGUGUUACUUUGAAAUGCAGCGGUUAAAAGUAAUACAUGGCGACAUUUUUUUCUAAAAGCACCACUAGUUAUGCCAUUGUAUGUAGAAUUUGAUAUAGUGCUUGGUCUCUCUCUAAUUCUAAUAUUAUCAUUGAUAUCUCCACUAAGAUCUUAAGUGAUUCUUUUUGACCCCUGAAUAAUAGUUGGAGUUGUUCAAUGUUGUUAUCUAAGUCAUCAUUUAGAUCAAUAAUAUUGGUUUCAUAAGUAUACAAUAGGCAUUUCAACAAUAUUUUUUUUUAUACAAUGCUUAGAAUUAUUUAUAAUCAUUCCUCAAUUCUUAAAUGGGAGGAUAAAUACAUUUUAGUGUGCUCAAAUUCACGUUUUCGUGUACUAGUAACAAUGACAAUACCAACAUUAACCAAAAUAAGACUUAAUCAACUUUUGUAAUAAUGUCUUUAAUGCUUAAUGCAACGGUGACUGAGUCAAGCACUAGUGUAGUUAAUAAAUUAUUAUUUAAUUUUUAAAUUAAUAUCUAAAUUUUAUAAAAUUUUGGCUAUUAAUUAAUUAUUAUAUAAUUCUUCUCAAAUGAUAGAAAUAUUGACUGACAUCAAGUCCAUUCACUAAGAUAUGUUUAUUGAUAAUUUCAAAGCUAUCAUAUUGUAGUUGAAAGAAAAGAAUCGAAAAUGAAAUAUCAAGAAAUUUGGCUGGCAAAAGCAAUAAAUGAGUGCAUUAAAAUUUACUACUUAUUUUUCACACAAAAUAAUUAUAGCUCUUUUCUUUUUCUUUAUGCACAUUAGAGGCGUUAAUAGGCAAGGUUGGAUUUUAUAUUUUUUUAAGCUUGGCCCGACUUAUAAUAAGUACUUGAUUUAUAGUGGUAUCAAAAAAUACGAUUUCGAGACUCUAUUUUCAUCAACCGAGUCCGUAAAUAUUAAAUAGGGAUAUUUACGGAGUUGGUGUAUAAAUAAAUUGAAAUUGGAUUAAAUAAUUUAUUCAAAAUUCUGGUUAAUUAAGACUUAAGGAUUAAAUUCGCUAUAAAUUUUUAAUUAGGAAAAUACUUGGGGACUUAAAUAGCGAUUAUCCAUAAGACUAAAAUAGUUGAUAGACCAACUUCAAAUAUACGAUGGUGGGAUGUGAUGUUAAAAUGUCUUUAGAUUAAAUUAAUUAAUGUUUAAUGUUUAAUUAACUUAAUUAAUUAAGUUUAAUUAUAUAUGUACAAGCCCAAUUUCGCCCGGGCCUAAACAAACAAAACAGGCCCAUACCAGCAAAACCCAAAACAAAACAGCAGACCCAAAAUUAAAACAAACUUAACCCAAACCCUCUACCCAAUUACAACCGGCCCAAUAACCCAACUACCCAAAUAGCCCAGAUCAGAAAAACAAACAGCAACCCUAACCCUAGGUCUUCUGACACUUAACCUACCAGCCGCCACCGCCGAACGUUAGUCACCAUCGCCCAUUGUCCUCACCUGCUCCACCUGCAAACACGCAAGCAAAAAAGGACAAAACAGCAGUAGAAACAAUAGAAAAAUUGUAAAAUGGCUAUUUAAAAGCCAUUCAAACAGAUCUAACAGAGGGGGAAUCGGUUUUAAAAAACCAAUCUUUGCAUCUGUAAAAGGUCUCUUUUUCACAAACAUUCAAGAAAUAAAAUACAACAUUUUCAAGAAGAUAUAUUUUCUGUUUAGGUAUUUACUUAGGUUAUUUUACUCCUAUUUUUAUUUAUUUUUUAUUUUAUAUACGAAAACAAAAAGAAAAGGGAAAAAGGAACUCACAGGGACUCGCUCCGUCUUCUCGCCGUCGGAGGCUCCUUCUCCGGUGACGGAACAGAUUGAAGAGAGGCAUAGCGGCCCUUUCCCCUUUAUUUUCGGUUGUUUUGAGGCUAGAUCUGAACUUAGGGGGUCGAGAUAAAAAAAUAAGUUUUUUUGCAUUCGCCAGCCACCGUGCGCGGCGGCGCCGACGCCGGCGACCGGUAUCCGGCACGGUGGCCAUUGGUCGGGUUAUGAACUAAAGGGGAGAGGUUUUUUUUGACUGAAAGUUGGUUUUUUUAGGGGGAAGCAGAUAAUGAAGCUUUUAAAAAAAUUUGAUUUAUAAAAGAAUAAAACGACGCCGUUUUAGGCCCUAGCUCCAGGCGCCAAAACGACGCCGUUUAAGAGCCAACCCGAUCUACCCGACCCGCUCCAGGCCAAGAUCAGCGUGUUUUUGAGCGGAAGGGCUAAUUCCGUUUUCAGCCCUUCUGCUCUUUAAUGAUUUUGCAAUCAAGUUCUUUUUGUUUUUUAAUUUCGCCAUGCGAUAUUUUUUUCUUUACAAUCUGGUCCGCUUUGAAGCUAUGCGUUUUGGAGGGACGGGAUUAUUUCCCUAUUGGUCCUCCUUCUUUCAGCGCGCGUUACAAUUUAGUUCAUUUUGUCCUUUUUUAUUUCGAUUUCGCCCCGAAUUUUUGGCUUUUACUUCGGUUUAGUCCCUUUUUUAGCAAUUUUAUUAUUAUUAUCAUAUUUUAUUAUUAUUAUUAUUAUUAUUAUUAUUAUUAUAUUAUUAUAUAAUAGCUUAAAUAUACAUACACGUAUACCUUUUUCUUUAUAAUUUAUUUAAUAUAUAAAUACUUUUUUAUAUGCAUAUCUAUAUACUUUUUCUUUCUUUUUCUCACGAAUAUAUUUUGUAUAUUGAAAUAUAGUUUCCUUUAUAUAUAUUUUUAUCUUAUUUUUAUAUAUCUCACAUGUACAUAUUUAUCUACAUAUCUUUUUAUAAUAUUUAUACGUAUUUAUGCAUCUUAUUUAUAUGUUACGGUUUAUUAUUUCACAUAUUAUCGAUUCGUUCUUUUUCUUUAUUUUAUUUUUAUUAUUGUCCGUAUUAUUUUUAUAUUUUUGUGUGCAUUAUGAUUUUACCAUGCAUAACAACAAUGUAAUUUGCUUUCACAUUUUUUUACUAUGAUUUUCGUGUUUUAUUUUACUCGAUAUAACAAAAUUUGUUUUAAAAAUGGCAUUUCGUGUUUAGAUUCGAGAAGAUCGUACCCUAACUUACUGGGUUUCGAUUUUCAUGAUAAAUCUAAAUGCACGAAUCUUUUCAAACUCAAGUUUUAAAUGAUCUCGGGAUUUAAAAAAAAUCACGUCCUAACUUACUGGUCGUGAUUCAUUUUUUUAAAAUCCGAGAUAGCUAAAAAAUAAGCAUUUUUUACGUAUCGGGAAUUCGAGACAUUGUGUCCUAACUUACUGGAUAUGAUUCUCUUUCUCGAUUAACGUGAAAUAUGCUUCUUUUCCCCAAAAUUUGCAUUUUAAUACAAGGAUCGCGUUUUUAAAAUUCUUCAAAGUUUUCAAUUUUCGACAUUAAGACAUUAACUAAUCAACUAGGUACCAAUUUUGGGCGUUACGAGGGUGCUAAUCCUUCCUCGUACGUAACCGACUCCCGAACCCGUUUUUCUAAAUUUCGUGGACCAAACUUGUUGUUUUAAUAAAGCUAAAUUGUUUAUUAAAAACAACCACUUUUCAAGGUGACCCGAUCACACCUCAUCAAAAAGGAUCGAUGGCGACUCCCAUUUUCGUUUUCUUUUUUUAAAACCCAAGUCGACCCCGUUUUCAUCCAAAAAAUGGUGUAAACAGCUUGGCGACUCCACUGGAGAAGUAAGAUUCAAGAGAGUCAAGCCACGAGUUGAUUAUUUCUUUUCUUUUUGUUGAAAGUUGAAAAUCUGAUUUAAAUUUACGAUCCUCUCAUUGCAUUUCAUUUGUUUUGAGUUAUGGUUUUCAUCAUGCUUCGUAUUCUAAAUUUUUAUAUCUUUGCACAUUACAUUGCAUGGCCGUUGGUCACUCCUUUUAAGUGGGAGUGAGAAACUACGCCUUCGUGAGGUUUUCACCUCCGCAUGGGAUAGUGAAUCGCUUCCGGGAUACAUCUGUACCUAUGUCUUUGUGAGAUUUUCAUCUCCGCAUGGCCAUAGGGACAUGUAUCCCCCUGAACUGAACUCGGUCCGCAUGAGCCUAUAAUGGGUGAGAAUCGAGGAAUCUGCUGGUUCGGGUACCUUUGCUUUAGAAUUAAACCACAUGUAGAGCACCUUAGGAUCCCACCCUAGGUAGAACUACUUCAAAUCCCUAGUGGUUACCCGACUAGGUACUUUUGUUUUCCUUGCUUGUUUAUGUUUCCUACUAACCUCUCUUGUCGUGUUUUGACUGAGAUUGAAUUGCAUUUGCAUCUUAGGAAGGAGAUAUUGAUUCAAGUUUGAUUACUAACUUAGAAAGCUUGUCAUGGAAUACGGGUUCCUUGAUAAAGUGGAAGACAAUACGCUUGCCUGACUAUAUUUUGAGAAACACAAGAAGAGCGAUGAAAGAGUUCGUGGCCUUGCUUCAUGGCCUGAGGAUUCAAGGCGAUCGUCUGAGAGCCUUCGACGUUCCAACCCCUUAAUGAAGCUGACGAGCCUUACGAAGAUGGGUAGAUGGUGGAUCGCGACCAAGAUCAAGAAAAGGAGCUGGCAAUGGCAUCUAUUGGCGAGAUUACCUCAAACGUGUGGAUAAAGAAAAAGAUCGAUAUUGUCUCUUAGAAUAUAAGGGCGAAGCCGUACAUGCCUCUGCUUUAUAUAAAGAAAUUUACUUUCUAGAAAAGUUUUCUAAAUAUAAUUGAAUCAGAUUCAAUGUCUCUUUAGGCAUUCAUUUCAUGCAUCUGCAUUACAUGCAUUAAAAUCCAUUAAAAGAGUCUAAUUGAAUAAAUUUAUUUCAGCUAACCUGGAAAACCAACCAACCCAACACUCAUACGGUAUCCAAGCAAAGGUUAGAAAAAUGGAACGAAGGUUGGAAAAAUUAGAGCGAAUGCAAAAGCAGAUACAGGAGCAAUUGACUGAAUUUCAACAGGAGAUGAGAGAUCAAAUGCUAGAAUUACGGAGAACCAUGAUGAGCCAGUUCAACCGAUUGCUAGCUGGAAAGUCAAAAGAAAUGAAAGACUCGGUGGUUUACUUUGGGGUAGAUAAUGAGGAUUUUGCCUAUUCCUUAGAUUGUACUCCGACAAGUGUCCAGGUCCAGCCAGAUGGGCGUCCACAAGGGGUACUCUUUACUAUCGGAUCCCAAUAUUAUCAGACUGGUACAUCGACACCAGUGAAUUGCCUGACAGGUCCAGGAUCCAAUUUGAGGAAUAAUUUAGCUAAUCCUAUUGCUAAUCUAGAAGAAAUAAAACAGAUGAGGGUAGAGUACCCAGAUACUAUAAAGGUCCCAGGGAAAAAGGAGAAUAAAAGGGAUAAUGCAGGCGGACGUAACAAGGGCCACUCAAAACCAAUCACUGUGGGCAGGCUAAAGACGGAAACCACCAGCCAUCAGAGCCCUUUAAAGCAAGAAUCUAGAGUGAAACCAGGUACUGAAAAGCUCCAGUUCACACCAAUUCCGAUGUCAUAUAAGGAGCUGUAUCAAAGCUUGUUCGAUGCGCAUGUUGUUGCUCCUCAUUACUUGAUCCCUUUACAGCCUCCGUACCCCAAAUGGUACGACGCAAACGCACAAUGCGACUACCAUGCUGUAAUUACGGGGCAUUCAAUAAAGAAUUGCAUUGCCUUCAAGAAGCUAGUCGAAAAAUUCAUCAACAUGGGUAUUGUCAAGUUGGGUGACUCAUCUAGUGCAGAAAGCCAUCUACCCAAUCAUAUUGAUAAUGGGAUGAAUGCGAUGUAUGAAGCAAUGUUGGAAAGUGUUCACAUCAAUGGCAUAUAUGAGGACAGAAUUGAAAAGGGAACUUGUUAGAUGACCCGCCCUUAUAAAUUUGGGAGCAUUCUAAGCGAUUGGACUGCAGAAGAAAUCCUUGUAGUUUUUAGAGCUUAUUUAGAGUAAUGUUCAGAACAUUUUUGUUGUUUUUAGCCUAAAAGUGAUAGAAAUUCCUUUGUGAAAUAGGCUAAUGUCUGAAGGUCAUUAUUCUAAUAAAAUACAUCUUUGCAUUCCUUUUUGAGCCAAUAUUCUUUCAUUCUUUUUGAAUAAUUAUUUCUGAUUAUUUCAUUCUUUUGGAUUUUCUCCCACAUCAUUCAUUCAUUCAUAAUCAUAUUAUAUAAAUAAUUAUUCAUAAAUUUAUACAUUCUUUUGUAUAUUCUUUGGUACUUAUUAUGAGUCCUUAGAUAUCAAUGACAUGAAUGAAACUACUGCAAACUCAGAUUUUCUACUUGAGCGAGGCAUGUGUUUAGACGGAUCUCAUGACUUUGGAAAUGACAUAGAUCGUAGCUUAUCUCCAGACUUGGUAAGGAGGGUGGAACAAGAAGAUAGACACAUUCUACCUAUCAAGGAAUCAUUAGAAAUUGUGAGCUUGGUGAAUAUUAGAAUUGACUUGACCGUAAAGACGAAGCAAGACCUUGUUGAGUUACCUCUAGAGUUCAAAGAUGUCUUUGUAUGAUCAUACCAGGAUAUGCCCGAAUUAAUCGCUGAUAAUAAAAUCUGCACAGCAGCACAUUUUCAGAAAUUUGCAGUGAACGAUGCAAUUCUUUGUCAGGGCAAAUGCCUUUCUCGUUGACUCAGCAUAGCUUUGCCCAUUUGAAGUUGAGCUUCCAUCUCUUCAAGUUCUAUGGGAUUUUAUCCUGAUUAAAGAGGGAGAUCAAAAGUUUUCUAUUGUAGUUUUGCCCCAGAAGGUUCUAUGAAGGAAAUCUGAUCAAAGAAGAUCCUUCGAAAGGGAUAACAAGGACUUGCCUAACCCUAUGAGUUCAUAUUCUAAAAAAAGGGCAAAAAGAAGGAAAAAAAAAAGAAAAAUCAAAGUCAAAAGAAAAAAAGAAAAAAAGAUCAAUCAAAGUCAAAAAUAAGAGAAAAAGAAAAAAAAAGAGAAAAGGAAAAAGAAAAGAAAAAGGAGAGGUCAAGGCGAAAACCCGCAAAGGGCGCUUUGACCAAAGGUGGAUUUGAGUUGAAAACCCAAAAAGGGCGACUCAAAUUUUGAGCGAAAUGGGGCAUGGACAUCACCAUUAUCGAAGACUUCUAAUGGGCAUUGCUUUAUUUUUUGUGAGGCUACUUCAUGGAUCAAGGUCAUCCUAUACCGAUACAGAAUUUCAAGAGAAUAACAUUGAAAAAUGCAUUGGACUUAAAUGAUAGCACGAUAACUGAGGUCUGAAAUCAAUUCAGAAGCAGAUACCACGUUUUGUCACUGAAUUACCUAAAGGUGAACAAGGACUGGCAUGGGAAAUUACUAUUUGCCCUCAUUGGUUGUCAAACAUCUGUACUGGGUUAACACCUCUCUUUUUGGUUUACAGGAUUGAGGAAGUUUUACCUAUUGAAAUCCCCUCAUUUCUUGUUGAAGGGAUCCAAUCGCGAUAUGAUCAGUUGGCCCUAGGAAAAGGUUUAAAAGCUAUUCAUCAAGGUCAGAUGUACCAAAAAUAGAUGAUACGAGCCCAUGACAAACAAGGUCGUCCCAAAGAAUUCCACAAGAGGGCUGGAUGUUGAAAGAAGAUCCUUCCUCAACGAAAGGAUUCUAGAGGGAAAUGAAUGCCAAACCGGGAAUGUUCCUAUGAUGUAAAGAUGACCAUUUUUAGAGGUGUACUGAUCCAGAGUGAGAUUGCUAAUCCUAUAAACUCGGAUCCAGUCAAGAAAUACGUCAUUUAAAGGAGAAUAAAGGACCAAGGUGAAAACCCGCAAAGGGUACUUUGAGUAAAAAAAUGAAAAGUGAAAAAUGAAAAAUGGAGAGGCUAAGGGGAAAACCCGCAAAGGGCAUCUUAGGCCAAAGGGGAUUUGAGUUGAAAACCCGAAAAGGGCGGCUCAAAUAUUGAUCAGAAUGGGGCAUGAGGUGAUCAGAGCAAUUCAAAUUUUGAUUAGAUUGGGGCAUGUGGUGAUCUUGUUAUACCUGAAUUAACAAGAAAGGGUAGGCGACAUCUUGGGGCAUCAACAAAGCAAUAUAGAUCUCCUAAACACAUGUCAAACUCAGAAUGGUCUUUAGAAAGUUUGUACAAAGAAGUUCAAGCUGUGAUAUCUGGGGCACCCAAUUCUCAUAUUAUUGAAUUUGGUAUUCUUGGAAUACUUCUUUCUUUUCCAAGAUACAUGUUCCAAUCAAUUCCUAUUUUUAUUCUUGCUAUCCUUGAUAAUUUAUUCAUUUCUAGCUAUGCUCUCAAAUCAAUUCUAUUUUAUCUAUCGUUAUGAUCUUUUGCAAGUAUGUUGCAUUAGAAUAAUGAUUAAUAGACUAAUAAUACUUUUGCAAUGGAAGUUUUGCAUAUUACUCUAAAAGUUUCAAAAUAAUACAGGAACCUGAAACAGGACUAUUGUUUAGAACGCACCAAGUUUAAAGGAUGGAAAAAUAAGAAGGAAAAGUUUAAAUUAAGACUUUCUCUUUGGAUUUUGUUGUCAAAAACAUUGAUUGAACAAAAUGACAAGAUGUCGUGUUGGUGACAAAGCUUCAAUGAACAAACAAGCAAUGAUCACCGAGUGAUAAGAAAAGGUUUUCUCGGAGAAGAAAAUUUUGCAAUUGUGCAUGAGCAUUUGAUAUGACACACUGGGAAUGGUGUAGGAGACCAAAGAGUUUCACAUUCUGUAUCAUUGAAUUAUGAUAACAGAGGAUCGAGAAAAAGGCCAGGUCUUUCUAUCCUUGGGUUAUAGAGGGAGAAAGAUUAUUCAAAUUUUGUAUCCAGUGGAUUGAACCUUGAAGAUUAUAGUGGGGGCAAUCCGACCAAGUAAGAGAUGAGCAUUACCAACCGGACAAGAUAGCAUUCAGAUGCGAUGGCAAUAAAGCCUUAUUUAGCAAGGGGCAAUAACAACUCAAACAUUGAAAGAUCAUUUUCAAUUUGCAUUCAUGCAUACACAUUUAGCCAGGAUAUUUUGAUUCAUUUUGAUCAUAAUCACUAGGCAUAAAUAGGUUCAUAUAGGUCAUGUUCCCUAGAGAACAGACCAAUGAAGUUGCAGAUCUUGCUUUCCUGCACUGACAGCGAAACAGAUCGAAGAAACCAUAGAUUGCAAUUCAAAGAUUGAAGCCACAACGGUGAAUCUUACUCCCAGGAAAUGCAGCGGAGCAGAUUGAAGCUACAACAGCGAAUCUCACUUCCCUGACAUUGCAAUUCAAAGAUUGAAGCCACAACGGUGAAUCUUACUCCCAGGCGAUGCAGCGGAGCAUAUUGAAGCUACAGCGGCGAAUCUCACUUCCCCGACAUUACAAUUUAAAAUAUUAAAGCUACAACAGUGAAUCUCACCUCCUUAGCGAUGUAGCGGAACAGAUCGAAGCUACGACGUUGAAUCUCUCUUCCCUGACAUCGCAGUUUAAAAGAUCGAAGCCACAACGGUGAAUCUUACUUCUAGGCGAUGCAGCGGAACAGAUUGAAGCUACAAUAGCGAAUCUUGCUUCCUCGACAUUGCAAUUCAAAAGAUCGAAGCCACAAUGGCGAAUCUUGCUUCCAAACGGUGCAGCAGAACAGAUUGAAGCUACGACGGUGAAUCUCACUUCCCCGACAUUGCAAUUCAAAAGAUCGAAGCCACAACGGCGAAUCUUAUUUCCCAGGCAGUGUAGUUGAAUAGAUUGAAGCUACAACAGUGGAUCUUGCUUCCUCGACAUUACAAUUCAAAAGAUUGAAGCUACAACAGCGAAUCUUACCUCCCUGGCGAUGCAGCGGAACAGAUUGAAGCUACAACGGUGAAUCUCACUUCCCCGACAUUGCAAUUCAAAAGAUUGAAGCCACAACGGUGAAUCUUACUUCCCAAGCGAUGCAGUGGAGAAGAUUAAAGUUACAACGGCGAAUCUCACUUCCCCGACAUUGCAGUUCAAAAGAUUGAGGUCACAAUGGCGAAUCUUACUCCCAGACGAUGCAGCAGAGCAGAUUGAAACUACAACGGCGAAUCUCACUUCCCCGACAUUGCAAUUCAAAAGAUUGAAGCCACAACAGUGAAUCUUACUUCCCAAGUGAUGCAGCGGAGCAGACUGAAGCUACAACGAUGAAUCUCACUUCCCCGACAUUGCAAUUCAAAAGAUUGAAGCCACAACGGUGAAUCUUACUUCCCAAGUGAUGCAGCAGAGCAAAUUGAAGCUACAACGGUGAAUCUCACUUCCCCGACAUUGCAAUUCAAAAGAUUGAAGCCACAAUGGUGAAUCUUACUUCCCAAGUGAUGCAGCGGAGCAGACUGAAGCUACAACGGCGAAUCUCACUUCCCCGACAUUGUAAUUCAAAAUAGUGAAGCCACAAGGGUGAAUCUUACUUCCCGAACAUCAUAGUUAAAUAGAUCAAAGAUGGCAGAUUUUACCUUCCUGUUACUACAGUAGAGUACAUUGAAGCUAGUAAUUCUAUCUCCCUGGUUGGCAGUGGAAUAGAUUGAAGAGGCAACAAGUCUUAUCUCUCUGACAUUGCAGUGGAGCAGACUAGAACCACAAUCUCAUCCCCUUGAAGUUGCUGCAAAGAAGAUUGAAGCUACAAGUCGGAUCUUGUUGAAGUGCAGUGGAGUGGAUUGAAGCGACAAGACACAGUAGACUGGAAUGAGGCUACCUGAAGAAGAGAAGCGUCAAGAGAAGUUGAGACUCGACGAGCCCGGGCAAAAUUGGUCUUUCUUAGUUUUUGCCCUGUUCUCGUUACAAGACAACGAGCAAAGAGGGGCAGCUGUACAAGCUCAAUUUCGCCCGGGCCUAAACAAACAAAAUAGGCCCAUACCAGCAAAACCCAAAACAAAACAGCAGACCCAAAAUUAAAACAAACUUAACCCAAACCCUCUACCCAAUUACAACCGGCCCAAUAACCCAACUACCCAAAUAGCCCAGAUCAGAAAAACAAUCAGCAACCCUAACCCUAGGUGCGCCGCACCUAGGGUCUUCUGACACUUAACCUACCAGCUGCCACCGCCGAACGUUAGUCACCAUCGCCCAUUGUCCUCACCUGCUCCACCUGCAAACACGCAAGCAAAAAAGGACAAAACAACAGUAGAAACAAUAGAAAAAUUGUAAAAUGGCUAUUUAAAAGCCAUUCAAACAGAUCUAACAGAGGGGGGAAUCGGUUUUAAAAAACCAAUCUUUGUAUCUGUAAAAACAUUCAAGAAAUAAAAUACAACAUUUUCAAGAAGAUAUAUUUUCUAUUUAGGUAUUUACUUAGGUUAUUUUACUCCUAUUUUUAUUUAUUUUUUAUUUUAUAUACGAAAACAAAAAGAAAAGGGAAAAAAGAACUCACCGGGACUCGCUCCGUCUUCUUGCCAUCGGAGGCUCCUUCUCCGAUGACAGAAUAGAUUGAAGAGAGGCAUAGCGACCUUUCCCCUUUAUUUUCGGUUGUUUUGAGGCUAGAUCUGAACUUAGGGGUCGAGAUAAAAAAAUACGUUUUUUUACCUUCGCCGGCCACCGUGCACGGCGGCGCCGACGCCGGUGACCAGAAUCCGGCACGGUGGACAUCGGUCAGGUUAUGAACUAAAGGGGUGAGGUUUUUUUUGAGUGAAAGUUGUUUUUUUAGGGGGAAGCAGAUAAUGAAGCUUUUUUAAAAAAAUUUGAUUUAUAAAAGAAUAAAACGGCGUCGUUUUAGGCCCUAGCUCCAGGCGCCAAAACGACGCCGUUUAGGAGCCGACCCGAUCCGCCCGACCCGUUCCAGGCCAAGAUCUGCGUGUUUUUGAGCGGAAGGGCUAAUUCCGUUUUCAGCCCUUCUGCUUUUUAAUGAUUUCGCAAUCAAGUUCUUUUUGUUUUUUAAUUUCGCCCUGCAAUAUUUUUUUCUUUACAAUCUGGUCCGCUUUGAAGCUAUGCAUUUUGGAGGGACGGGAUUAUUUCCCUGUUGGUCCUCCGUCUUUCAGCGCGCGUUACAAUUUAGUCCCUUUUGUCCUUUUUUAUUUCAAUUUCGCCCCGUAUUUUUGGCUUUUACUUCGGUUUAGUCCCUUUUUUAGCAAUUUUAUUAUUAUCAUCUUUUAUUAUUUAUUAUUAUUAUUAUUGUUACUUAUCAUAUUAUUAUAUAAUAGCUUAAAUAUACAUACACAUAUACCUUUUUCUUUAUAAUUUAUUUAAUAUAUAAAUACAAAAAAUAUAAAAACCAAAUAAAUAAAGCCAAGAAUUAUAACCCAAUAAUAAACAAAAAAUGGCCCAAAUGUCAUUAGCCCAAUACCCAUUGCAAACCCUAGCCCAAAUAACCUAAACCUAACAGCAAACAAAAUCUAGCAGCCUCCAGCACAACAUCCAGUCGUCGCACGACUCUGAACCAGCCCUCCGCCACGUCUGCCUACAAAACGGACUAGGGGAGUCCAAUACCAACACAAACGCAGUGUAAAAGUAGAGAAAAUAGGAAAAUUUCGAGCUAUAAAAGGCCCCGAUUCUAUGUAUGAUUUUUUACGAAUAAAUAAAAAAGGAAAACGGAGAAAUCAAGUCAAGUACCAGUCUUUUACAAAGGUAGUUUUUUAUUUCGGCUUAUUUAUUUAUUUGUUCUAAAGAAAACGAAAAUAAAAAGGUUAAAAAUCAUACAUUUAUUGCGGAGGAGGUGCCGAUUCCGAUGAAAAUUGGCGUUCCAUGGGUCCGGGGAUUGAAAAAACCAAAAAAAUGGUGACUUUUCAUUUUUCGGCCAUCGUGGGCAGCGGCCACCGCGGUGGUCCGACGACCGGAUAUUGGCCGGAAAGGGGAAAGCUGAGAGAGAGUUGAGAGAAAAGAGAGGUUUUUUUUAAAAGGAGGCUACAAAUGUAUUUUUAGGGUUUUUUUUACUUAUAUAGACACCCCAAAACGACGUCGUUUUGGGCUUGGCUUUUGAUGCCCAAAACGACGUCGUUUCAGGCCUUUGACCCGGGCGGUGACCUGACCCAGGGGAAGGAUCUGCGUGUUUUUGGAAUUUGAGUUAUUCACCCUUUCUGUCCUUUUUCUUUUUUGGUUUAUUUUAAUUUAGUCCUUUUUUCUUUUAUUAAUUUGACCAUUAAACUUUUACAUGUUUCAAUUUAGUCCCUGGCUCGCUAGAAGGGACAUGUGUCCAGGGAAUCGGGCUAUUUGCCCAUUUUGUCCUCAACCUUUGCGCGCCAUUUGACUUUAGUCCUCUUUAUUUAUUUAUAUAUGAUUUUUACCCUUUAAUUUCAUUUUUUGUCCCGAUUUAGUCCCAAACCAGUUAGACUUCAAUUUAUUUUUGCCGAUUAUUUAUUUAUUUAUUUAUUUUAAAUUUUUCUAUUAUUAUUUACUUCAGUUUUUUUAUAUAUUAUGCAUUUUAAACUAUAUUAAAUUAUUAUUCAUUUAUAUAUCCAUAUGUUAUUGGUUUUAAUUCUAGUUGUAUUUUAAAUUUCGUCUAUAUAUUAUUUAUUAUAAGCUAUAUACAUUUUCUCCUAAAAUUAUUAUUACUUAUUUUAUAUUUUCCUAUAAUAUAUAUACCACAUCUUUAAAUACCUUUAUAUAUAUGUAUUAUGUUAAAUAUGUGUGACAUUUUUUUUAAAUGAUUUUAUUUAAACUUGCUCCAUAUAUGUUUUCUUAUUUUGAAUUAAUUUGCAUACUCGUUGUUUCUAAAAAAGGGUUUUUUUUUUAAAAUUGUUCUUAUAAUAUAUUUGUUGACACCAUUUUUUUAUAAAACGGAGUCGACUUGGAUUUUAAAAAUGAAAACAAAAAACGGGAGUCGCCACCAAUUCUUUUUGAUGAGGUGUGACCGGAUCACCUCGAAAAGUGGUUGUUUUUAAUAAACGAUUUAAUUUUAUUAAAACAACAAUUUUGGUCCACGAAAUUUAGAAAAACGGGUUUGGGAGUCAGUUACAAACGAGGAAGGGUUAGCACCCUCGUAACUCCCAAAAUUGGUACCUAGUUGAUUAGUUAAUGUCGUAGUGCCGAGGAUUGAAAAUUUUAAAGAGAUUUAAAAUACGAUCUUUUAUUGAAACAUUUGUAUAAAUCAAAUUACUCGUUAAGACUCUCCCAUUUCAGAAAAAGAAAACAUCACACCCAAUGCGUUAGGGCACGAUAUUUUACCUCUUCAGAAAUGAGCUUGUCUAAAAACUUGCACAAUAUAAUUUAAAAGGGUAUUCAAUUGUUUAAGUCAUGUGAAAAUAUUGCAACCCAAUACGUUAGGGCACAAUUUCUCAAAAUAUUAAACAUUGAAUAUUGCAUUUUUUAGAAAAAUCCUCGUCUCGAGAAAACAACGUGUCAUAUCCAAUGCGUUAGGACACAACGUAUUGAAUUCUCGAUAAUGAGCUAUUUAUUUAUGUUUUUGUUUUAAAGAGCACUCUCGAUUAUUUAGAUUCAACGAAGAAAAUUGGAACCCAAUACAUUAGGGCUCAAUUCUCUCGAUGAUCCCAAAUACCGAGUAUUGCUUUUAUUUUGAAAUUUUCAUUUUUUUGACAAAUCCGAGUAAAAAGAUGUAACGUAACAACAAUGAUGAUAAUGUGAAUAAAAUAAUACAAGCAAAGGCUAUAAAAUAAAAUAAAAUAAAUAAAAAGACAAACUAAUAAAGUACACCAUAACAGCAUACAAACAAUAAUAUUAAAGCAUUCAUUCUAAAUAAUGUGAAUACAAAUAAAGAAAUAAAUAAAAAAAUGAAUAAGAUGAUGUAAAUGUAAAAGAUGCAUACAUAUGUAUACAUUUUAAAAUUAUUAUAUAUAAAAAUGUAAACAAGCAAAUGCAUAUACAUAUGCGUAUAUAUAUAUUAUAAAAGGGGUACAAAAGUAUGUUUUUAUAUACAUGUAUUUAUAAAAUGCGUAUAGAUAUAUAUAGAUGUGCAAAUAUAUGUGUAUAAAAAUUAUAGAAUAUAAAAAAUAUGUAUAUAUAUUUUUGUAUGUAUAUAAAAAUAAGUUAUAAAAAAAUGUACGUGCAUAAUACAUAUAUGUAUAUAUAUAUAGAAUAGAAAUAGAACUAAAAAAUAAUAUAAAACUAAUUAAUAUAUUAACAAAAUAGUAACGAACAAAUGAAAGGAAAAUAAAACUAAUAAUAAUAAUAAUAAUAAUUGCAGUGAUAAUAACAUUAAAAUAAUUAACUAAAUAAUAAAAUUGCUGAAAACACAGACUAAAUUGAAAUAAAAACGAAAAUACUGGGCGAAUUCGAAAUAAAAAAAAUGAAAAGGAUUAAAUUGCAACACGUGCAAAAAGAGAGGGACCAAAACAAUAAAUAAACCAAAGCCCCAAAACGCGGCGCUGCAAUGGACUAAAAUGUAACAAAAGUAAAACCAUACAGCUAAAUUAAAAUAAAAUAAAAGAAGGAAAAAGGACCAAAUUGCAACACGUUGCAAAAGCGGAAGGACCGCGCACGGAAAUAACCUUUUCUUAGAAAACACGCGGAUCCUUGGCGGAGCGGGUCGGGUCGGCCCGAUCCAGGGUCAAAACGAAGUCGUUUUGGGGAUUAAGGACGCCAACCAAAACAGCGUCAUUUUGUUUGGCUAUAAAAGCCAAAAAUUUUUCAAAAAAAAAAAUCAUUCAUUCCUUCUCACACCAAAAAAAAUCUGAUAUGCUCUCCCCCUCCCUUUCUCUGCUCCUCUCUCCGGCCAAGGGCCUGCUCAUCGCUUGUCGCGCCGUCCGCCGAUCGCCGAUGCCAGCGCCGCCGUGUGUGGCAGUGCGUGGCGGCCAGCAAGUGGACGACCCUAGGUGCGGCGCACCUAGGGUUAGGGUUACUUUUUUUUGUUGUUUUCUGAUUUGGGCCAUUUGGGUAGUUGGACUUUAGAUUUUGGGCUUGAGAUAGUUGGGUCUGUGAUUGGGGUAUUGGGCUAAUGUUUUGGGUUUGGCCCCCGGGUAAAUUUGGGCUGUACAAUAUUUUUUUUAAAAUUUCUUUUACAUUGUUUGCUUGAUGUUGUUUUGUAUUAUUUAGAUUUUCCCACUAUUCAUCUCAUUUUGGUAUGAAUUUAGAUAUUAAAAUAACUUGUUAUGUGGUAUAAGAGAUUAUGGUCUUUAUGUAUAUUGUAUUGCUUAUUUGUAUCUAUUGAUUCUUAAUCACCCAUUAGCAUGUAUUUUAGCUUACGAACUAUCAUUUCAUGUUAUAUAUCGUUAUCUCAUUGUGUUUCAUUUGUAAAAAGGGAUUAUGCUUCAUUAAGACAUUAAAAUCAUUUUAUCCGCAAGUUUUCAAAAUAUUCGGCGUUCAAGAUUCUCGAGAAGAUUGUACCCUAACUUACUGGGCUUCAAUUUUCUCCGUUGAAUUUAAAUAGCCGAGUAUCCUUUUUUCAAUAAAAUCGUAAACAUUUUAAGAUUAAAACUUACUCUCGGGAAUUCAAAGGGUUGUGUCCCAACUCACAGGAUACGACAUUUUGUUAUCUCGAGAUGAGAUUUUUUAACAAAAGCAAAUUAGUGUGUGAUCGUCAAAACUUCAAAGAAUCGUACCCUAACUUACGAGGUUUCGAUUUCUUCAUAGAAACAAGAUGACCAAACUUUUUUUUAGUUUUCAAAUUAAUUAAUUUCAAUAAAGAUUUUAAAAGGAGAAUCGUUUUUUUAAUCUUUUUCAUUCGACCUUAAGACAUUAAAUAAUUAAUUCUGUACCAAUUUUGGGCGUUACGUGGGUGCUAAUCUUUCCUCGUACGUAACUAACUCCCGAACCCAUUUUCUAAAACUUGCAGACCAAAAUCAUUUUUUAGGUGAUCCAAUCACACUUCAAUAAAAGAUUGUUGGCGACUCCCAAUUUUCAUUUUUAAGUCGACAACUAAUUUUUGUUUUUUAAAAAAUGGUUUCGACAUUCAUAAUGCUUAAAACUAUUUAUAAUCCUUCCUCAACUUUUAAAUGGGAGAAUAAAUGCACUUCAACGUGCUUAAAGUCACGUCCUCAUGCAUUGAUAACAAUGACAACAUUAAUGUUUACUGAGCUAACACUUAACCAACUUUUUUAAUAAUGUCUUCUAUGCUUAAUGCAAUGGCGACCAAAUCAAGCACUAGUGCAAUUAAUAGAUUAUUAUCUAAUUUUCAUAUUUAUAUCUAAUUUUCAUAAAAAAAAUUCUAUUAUCUAACUAUUAUAUAAAUCUUCUCAAAUGAUAGAAAUAUUGAUAGAAAUCAAGUACAUUAACUAAUACAUUUUUAUUGAUGAUUUCAAAGUUAUCAAAUGCUAGUCGAAACAAUAAUAUCGAAAAUGAAAGAUCAUGAAAUUUGGGUAGCAAAAGCAAUUUAAUGAUUGCAUUAAAAUUUACAACUUAUUUUUUCGUACAAGGAAUUAUAGCUCUUUUCAUUUUCCUUAUGCACACUAGACUUGUUGGUUGACUGGGUCGGAUCUGGUUUAGAUCGAACAUAAGCAUGUUAUUAAAAUAUUUUAUACUUGUUCAAACCUAACCCGGCAACCCGGCAUAUAAUAAUCCGGUUUCGGAAUUCAACCACGAUUUUGUAUUACAUAUUUUGAGGCUAUGAUUCUGAGGUUACUAUUCUAAAGUUACUUGGAGACUAAUUUUAUUAUAAUGUCAAUAAAAAAACUUGCAUCAAACUUUUCAUACUGACUUAACAGUAGGACUAAAAAAUUAAAUUUCAAAAAGGUUAGUAACUAAAUUAAAAAAGUUUUAAUUAAGUGACAAAAAUAAAAAUAAUCUAGUAAUUGAAAAACGUAGUUUACCCAAUAAAAAUACUAGAAAGGAAGGUUGAAAUUUAUAAUAAAGUAACUCCAAAAUCAAGCAUCACAUGAACGUACAAGCAGUUUGGAGGUAGCUUGAAUUAUCAAAAGAAACUCUUCCAGAGGAAGACUUUGAUUUAGAUACAUGGGAGAGUACUUGAAAGCCUUGAGAAGCCAAUGUUGAUGAGCUCAUAGUAACUCGUUAUUGCAGGCACACUACAUAUGAUGAAACAAACUACAUAAUAGUCUUGAAAAAAACACAAAUCAUGGGCAGGUAAUGCAACUUCAUGAUCUGGAUUUUAUUUAUUCGCAUUACAAUUUCGCCAAUGGAUCCUAUAGCUUGCCCAUUGCAUUCAAGGUUUAGUUGGCAACUCCUGGCAGCCGCGACCGCGUUUAUAAACGGAACAGGGUGGGUCCAUAGAA